RNAcentral lists this transfer RNA (72 nucleotides) under Pseudocercospora fijiensis CIRAD86. Its description in RNAcentral is "tRNA-Ala (TGC) (tRNA-Ala-TGC-1-1)". It matches the Rfam family "tRNA". Rfam says of the family: Transfer RNA (tRNA) molecules are approximately 80 nucleotides in length. Lineage: Eukaryota; Fungi; Ascomycota; Dothideomycetes; Mycosphaerellales; Mycosphaerellaceae. The record is from RNAcentral.
GGGCAAUUGGCGCAGUGGUAGCGCGUCCGCUUUGCAUGCGGAAGGACUAGGGUUCGAUCCCCUAAUUGUCCA